GGGCCAUGGCUCCGUGGUAGAACACCUGUUUGGCAUGCAGAAGUUCCCAGGUUCAAUUCCUGGCAUCUUCA
Molecule: transfer RNA, 71 nt
Filed under: Sphaerodactylus townsendi
Lineage: Eukaryota; Metazoa; Chordata; Lepidosauria; Squamata; Sphaerodactylidae
Description: tRNA-Ala
Source: RNAcentral